CCCUUAGAUGUCCUGGGCCGCACGCGCGCUACACUGAUGCAUUCAACGAGUUUUUCCUUGGCCGAGAGGCCUGGGCAAUCUUUUGAACGUGCAUCGUGAUAGGGAUAGAUUAUUGCAAUUAUUAAUCUUGAACGAGGAAUUCCUAGUAAACGCAGAUCAUCAAUCUGCAUUGAUUACGUCCCUGCCCUUUGUACACACCGCCCGUCGCACCUACCGAUUGAAUGGUCCGGUGAAGCCUCGGGAUUGUGGUGAGUUCCCUUUAUUGGGAGUUUGUCGCGAGAACUUGUCUAAACCUUAUCAUUUAGAGGAAGGUGAAGUCGUAACA
This 325-nucleotide ribosomal RNA is filed under the name uncultured eukaryote. RNAcentral describes it as "partial 18S ribosomal RNA". It matches the Rfam family "Eukaryotic small subunit ribosomal RNA", at positions 1470 to 1796 of the family's 1831-position model. The record is from RNAcentral.